AGUGAACGCUGGCGGUAGGCCUAACACAUGCAAGUCGAACGGCAGCACAGUAAGAGCUUGCUCUUACGGGUGGCGAGUGGUGGACGGGUGAGGAAUACAUCGGAAUCUACUUUUUCGUGGGGGAUAACGUAGGGAAACUUACGCUAAUACCGCAUACGACCUACGGGUGAAAGCAGGGGAUCUUCGGACCUUGCGCGAUUGAAUGAGCCGAUGUCGGAUUAGCUAGUUGGCGGGGUAAAGGCCCACCAAGGCGACGAUCCGUAGCUGGUCUGAGAGGAUGAUCAGCCACACUGGAACUGAGACACGGUCCAGACUCCUACGGGAGGCAGCAGUGGGGAAUAUUGGACAAUGGGCGCAAGCAUGAUACAGCCAUACCGCGUGGGUGAAGAAGGCCUUCGGGUUGUAAAGCCCUUUUGUUGGGAAAGAAAAGCAGCAGGUUAAUACCCCGCUGUUCUGACGGUACCCAAAGAAUAAGCACCGGCUAACUUCGUG
RNAcentral lists this ribosomal RNA (492 nucleotides) under uncultured bacterium. RNAcentral describes it as "partial 16S ribosomal RNA". It matches the Rfam family "Bacterial small subunit ribosomal RNA", at positions 29 to 507 of the family's 1533-position model. The record is from RNAcentral.